UGGGGAAUAUUGCACAAUGGGCGCAAGCCUGAUGCAGCCAUGCCGCGUGUGUGAAGAAGGCCUUCGGGUUGUAAAGCACAUUCAGCGGGGAGGAAGGCGAUAAGGUUAAUAACCUUGUCGAUUGACGUUACCCGCAGAAGAAGCACCGGCUAACUCCGUGCCAGCAGCCGCGGUAAUACGGAGGGUGCAAGCGUUAAUCGGAAUUACUGGGCGUAAAGCGCACGCAGGCGGUCUGUCAAGUCGGAUGUGAAAUCCCCGGGCUCAACCUGGGAACUGCAUUCGAAACUGGCAGGCUAGAGUCUUGUAGAGGGGGGUAGAAUUCCAGGUGUAGCGGUGAAAUGCGUAGAGAUCUGGAGGAAUACCGGUGGCGAAGGCGGCCCCCUGGACAAAGACUGACGCUCAGGUGCGAAAGCGUGGGGAGCAAACAGG
Molecule: ribosomal RNA, 429 nt
Filed under: Chloroflexota bacterium
Lineage: Bacteria; Bacillati; Chloroflexota
Description: Chloroflexi bacterium partial 16S ribosomal RNA
Rfam family: Bacterial small subunit ribosomal RNA
Source: RNAcentral